GGGCCCGCACAAGCGGAGGAACAUGUGGUUUAAUUCGAUGAUACGCGAGGAACCUUACCCGGGCUUGAAAGUUAGUGACGGACUUGGAAACAGGUCUUUCCAGCAAUGGACACGAAACUAGGUGCUGCAUGGUUGUCGUCAGCUCGUGCCGUGAGGUGUCGGGUUAAGUCCCAUAACGAGCGCAACCCCUACUGUUAGUUGCCAUCAGGUCAAGCUGGGCACUCUAACGGGACUGCCGGUGUAAGCCGAGAGGAAGGUGGGGAUGACGUCAAAUCAGCACGGCCCUUACGUCCGGGGCGACACACGUGUUACAAUGGUAGGUACAGAGGGCAGCUACACAGUGAUGUGGUGCGAAUCUCGAAAGCCUAUCUCAGUUCGGAUUGGAGGCUGAAACUCGCCUCUAUGAAGUUGGAUUCGCUAGUAAUCGCGCAUCAGCCAUGGCGCGGUGAAUACGUUCCCGGGCCUU
This 466-nucleotide ribosomal RNA is filed under the name uncultured bacterium. RNAcentral describes it as "bacterial SSU rRNA". It matches the Rfam family "Bacterial small subunit ribosomal RNA", at positions 917 to 1382 of the family's 1533-position model. The record is from RNAcentral.